Molecule: transfer RNA, 77 nt
Filed under: Bacilli bacterium
Lineage: Bacteria; Bacillati; Bacillota; Bacilli
Description: tRNA-Arg
Rfam family: tRNA
About the family: Transfer RNA (tRNA) molecules are approximately 80 nucleotides in length. Their secondary structure includes four short double-helical elements and three loops (D, anti-codon, and T loops).
Source: RNAcentral
AUUCCAAUAGCUCAAUUGAAUGGAGCAACAGUUUCCUAAACUGUAGGUUGAUGGUUUGAGUCCAUCUUGGAAUGCCA